UAAUAUACGGAAAACAGACGCUAUGCGUCAUGGCGCUAAUAUACGGAAAACAGAGCUUUUUUUACAUGCUUUCAUUUUGAAAGUGAAGUUCCUGUAUAGACGCGGACUUACAGUUAUGAAUCUGUAACUUCACAAAGGAAAAGUUUGAUGUUUUAGCGACCCUCCGAAGAGGCACACGCUCUUACGGUGUUGUUUAGGGAAGUUUCAAAUAAACCUGAAAACAUCAGUUGAAAGUCUCGACCAUCUUUCGGAGAUAUGCUACAGGUGGGACAGAGCGAUUGAGUCACCGGCUGAGCUUGUGGUGGAGCCUCCCCUCUGCACACUUGGAUCUGCAGAGCUGUGUACACUCACUCAUCCUUCCUCCGUCUGCUCGGUGCCUGUGAUUCCUCUGAGCCAUGAGGCAGACUCCAACAAUCAGAAGCCUUCUCUUUU
Molecule: long non-coding RNA, 432 nt
Organism: Hippoglossus stenolepis (Pacific halibut)
Lineage: Eukaryota; Metazoa; Chordata; Actinopteri; Pleuronectiformes; Pleuronectidae
Exons: 3
Source: RefSeq, a predicted model, not a curated record